Molecule: long non-coding RNA, 221 nt
Filed under: Elaeis guineensis (African oil palm)
Lineage: Eukaryota; Viridiplantae; Streptophyta; Magnoliopsida; Arecales; Arecaceae
Description: long non-coding RNA (EGUI_LNC038842)
Source: RNAcentral
CGGUUCAACUUUCGGGGUUAUAUGUCUUAUUGAGCUCGAGUUUCUUAGGGGCUGGCAUCUAGUUAAUUUUAAUUUAGAGGCUUGAGUUAAUGAGGGAUGCUGGUUGGUUAUUUUUGGACUAAGAAAGAGUGAUGAAAUCUUCACUUUAUCUUAUUAAUGGGUGUUGUCCUUAAAUUAAUUUGAGAUGAAUAUGCAUAAUUAAUUUCAAACAAGAGGUUCUA